This 284-nucleotide unclassified non-coding RNA is filed under the name uncultured Hypocreales. RNAcentral's name for it is "sequence contains 5.8S rRNA gene, ITS2, 28S rRNA gene". The stretch from base 1 to 52 matches the Rfam family "5.8S ribosomal RNA", at positions 103 to 154 of the family's 154-position model. Lineage: Eukaryota; Fungi; Ascomycota; Sordariomycetes; Hypocreales. The record is from RNAcentral.
AACGCACAUUGCGCCCGCUAGUAUUCUGGCGGGCAUGCCUGUCUGAGCGUCAUUUCAACCCUCGCGCCCGGCUUUGCUGCCGGAUGCGGUGUUGGGGAUCGGCCUGCAGCCGCCUAGCGGAUCGGGCCGGCCCUGAAAUACAGUGGCGAUCGCGUUGUAACCUCCUCUGCGUAGUAACUCCUUACAGGGCCUCGCAGGCGGAGAGCGGUGCGGUCACGCCGUAAAACCCCCAAACUUUUUACAAGGUUGACCUCAGAUCAGGUAGGAAUACCCGCUGAACUUAA